UCCGAUAUGGUCUAGUGGCUAGGAUUUGCCGCUCUCAUCAGAGUACAAAACUUCACAGUGCCGGCAAGGCCCGGGUUCGAUUCCCGGUGUCGGAA
Molecule: transfer RNA, 95 nt
Filed under: Pleomassaria siparia CBS 279.74
Lineage: Eukaryota; Fungi; Ascomycota; Dothideomycetes; Pleosporales; Pleomassariaceae
Description: tRNA-Glu
Rfam family: tRNA
About the family: Transfer RNA (tRNA) molecules are approximately 80 nucleotides in length. Their secondary structure includes four short double-helical elements and three loops (D, anti-codon, and T loops).
Source: RNAcentral